Triticum aestivum (bread wheat) is the source of this 114-nucleotide non-coding RNA. The record is from Rfam. Lineage: Eukaryota; Viridiplantae; Streptophyta; Magnoliopsida; Poales; Poaceae.
CAACUACUCCCCCGUUCGGAAUUACUUGUCACAAAAAUGAAUGUAUCUAUAACUAAAAUACAUCUAGAUACAUUCAUUUCUUGGACGAGUAAUUCCGAACGGAGGAAGUAUGUU